CUGAAUAGGGCGCAUAAGUAACAGGUCGUAGACCCGAAACCAGGUGAUCUACCCAUGUCCAGGAUGAAGGUAAGGUAAUACUUACUGGAGGUCCGAACCCACGCACGUUGAAAAGUGCGGGGAUGAGGUGUGGGUAGCGGAGAAAUUCCAAUCGAACUUGGAGAUAGCUGGUUCUCUCCGAAAUAGCUUUAGGGCUAGCCUCGAGGUAAAGAGUCAUGGAGGUAGAGCACUGUUUGGACUAGGGGCCCUUCUCGGGUUACCGAAUUCAGAUAAACUCCGAAUGCCAUGUACUUAUACUCGGGAGUCAGACUGCGAGUGAUAAGAUCCGUAGUCGAAAGGGAAACAGCCCAGACCACCAGUUAAGGUCCCCAAAUAUAUGUUAAGUGGAAAAGGAUGUGGGGUUGCUUAGACAACCAGGAUGUUGGCUUAGAAGCAGCCACCAUUGAAAGAGUGCGUAAUAGCUCACUGGUCGAGUGACCCCGCGCCGAAAAUGUACCGGGGCUAAACAUAUUACCGAAACUGUGGAUGAACCUCUUUAGAGGUUCGUGGUAGGAGAGCGUUCUAAGGGCGGUGAAGUCAGACCGGAAGGACUGGUGGAGCGCUUAGAAGU
This 610-nucleotide ribosomal RNA is filed under the name Listeria monocytogenes. RNAcentral's name for it is "bacterial LSU rRNA". It matches the Rfam family "Bacterial large subunit ribosomal RNA", at positions 683 to 1289 of the family's 2925-position model. The record is from RNAcentral. Lineage: Bacteria; Bacillati; Bacillota; Bacilli; Caryophanales; Listeriaceae.